UAUCUCAAACAGGAACAUCAUAAAGAUACCAUUCCACAUACUUCGUAGCAAAAAGUAACAACAUUGACAAAACGCUACAAUGUUCAGAACAUAGAAAUAACUUAAUUUAUGUAUGAACUAAAUAUCGUAGGUAUACAAAAGACAGGACAGACCCAGUGCAUAGAAGCUCCCACACAAGGUGGGGUCUGGGGAGGGAUUAUAGGAACCUAGUCUUACCCCUGCAAAGUGCAAUGCAGAGAGGCUGGUUCGAACCCAGGACCUCUUGGCACAAGUGGGGAGGACUUCACCACUGCGCCAGGCCUGCCCUCAGGUAUACAAAAGACAGGCCAAAUCUUAAACAUGAAUGCCAAAGUGUACUGUGUACAACAAUACAAAAGACAGGCCAAAACUCAACAUGAAUGCAGAAGUGUACGACAAUAUAAAAG
Molecule: long non-coding RNA, 425 nt
Filed under: Triticum aestivum (bread wheat)
Lineage: Eukaryota; Viridiplantae; Streptophyta; Magnoliopsida; Poales; Poaceae
Description: long non-coding RNA (TAES_LNC008873)
Source: RNAcentral